AGGGUGCAGGGCGGAUGCCUUGGCACUAGGAGCCGAUGAAGGACGUGAUAAGCUGCGAUAAGCUUCGGGGAGUUGCACGUAAACUUUGAUCCGAAGAUUUCCGAAUGAGGAAACUCACUUAGAGUAAUGUCUAAGUAUCAUUAAGUGAAUACAUAGCUUAAUGAGGGGAACUCAGGGAACUGAAACAUCUAAGUACCUGAAGGAAGAGAAAGAAAUUCGAUUCCGUAAGUAGCGGCGAGCGAACGCGGAUUAGCCCAAACCAAUAAAGUUUUCUUUAUUGGGGUUGCGGACAUAUCAUAACGAAGAGGUAUCGUAAUUGAAGAGGUUUGGAAAGACCCACCACAGAAGGUAAUAGUCCUGUAUGUUAAACGAGAAGACUUCAGAUAUGAUCCAGAGUACCACGGGACACGUGAAACCCUGUGGGAAGCAGGAGGGACCACCCUCCAAGGCUAAAUACUACCUAGUGACCGAUAGCGUAUAGUACCGUGAGGGAAAGGUGAAAAGAACCCCGGGAGGGGAGUGAAAUAGAACCUGAAACCCUGCACUUACAAGCUGUGGAAGCACAUUUCUUGUGUGACCGCGUACUUUUUGUAGAACGGGCCAACGAGUUACGUUAAGUAGCAAGGUUAAGCACUUAAGGUGCGGAGCCGUAGCGAAAGCGAGUUUUAACUGAGCGUUCAGUUACUUGACGUAGACCCGAAACCGGGCGACCUACCCAUGAGCAGGAUGAAGCGAAAGUAAAAUUUCGUGGAGGUCCGAACCCACGAGCGUUGAAAAGCUCGGGGAUGACUUGUGGGUAGCGGUGAAAUUCCAAUCGAGCCCGGAGAUAGCUGGUUCUCCCCGAAAUAGCUUUAGGGCUAGCCUCAAGGUGAGAGAUACGGAGGUAGAGCACUGAAUGUCCUAGGGGGUAUUGCACCUACCGAAGACUAUCAAACUCCGAAUGCCGUCAUCUUAUACUUGGGAGUCAGACUGUGGGUGAUAAGAUUCAUAGUCGAAAGGGCAACAGCCCAGAUCGUCAGCUAAGGUCCCUAAAUGUAAGUUAAGUGGUAAAGGAUGUGGGAUUGCACAGACAACCAGGAUGUUGGCUUAGAAGCAGCCACUCAUUCAAAGAGUGCGUAAUAGCUCACUGGUCGAGUGAUCCUGCGCCGAAGAUUUCCGGGGCUAAAACUUACUACCGAAGCUACGGCAUCAGUAAUGAUGGGUAGGGGAGCUUCCCAUACGGGUUGAAGCAUGACCGUAAGGACAUGUGGACAGUAUGGGAGUGAGAAUGUUGGCAUGAGUAGCGAGAUGUGGGUGAGAAUCCCACAGGCCGUAAACCCAAGGUUUCCAGGGGAAGGUUCGUCCGCCCUGGGUUAGUCGGGACCUAAGCUGAGGCCGAAAGGCGUAGGUGAUGGACAACAGGUUGAUAUUCCUGUACUACCGAUAACCGUUUGAGAGAAGGGAUGACACAGUAGGAUAAGCUAAGCACACUGUUGGUUAUGUGUGCCCAAGCAUUGAGGCAGUCAAAGCAGGCAAAUCCGCUUUGAUAAUGCUGGGAUGUGAUGGGGAGCGAAAUUUAGUAGCGAAGUAGCUGAUUUCACACUGUCAAGAAAAGUCUCUAUCGAGGUUAAAGGUACCCGUACCGCAAACCGACACAGGUGGGUGAGGAGAGUAUCCUAAGGCCAGCGAGAGAACUGUUGUUAAGGAACUCGGCAAAAUGACCCCGUAACUUAGGGAUAAGGGGUGCCACCAUCCGGUGGCCGCAGAGAAUAGGCCCAAGCGACUGUUUACCAAAAACAUAGGUUUCUGCUAAGUCGCAAGACGAUGUAUAGGAGCUGACGCCUGCCCGGUGCUGGAAGGUUAAGGGGAUCUGUUAGAGCAAUCGAAGCAGUGAACUUAAGCCCCAGUAAACGGCGGCCGUAACUAUAACGGUCCUAAGGUAGCGAAAUUCCUUGUCGGGUAAGUUCCGACCCGCACGAAAGGCGUAACGAUUUGGGCACUGUCUCAACAACAGACUCGGUGAAAUUGUAAUUCCGGUGAAGAUGCCGGAUACCUGCGACAGGACGGAAAGACCCCAUGGAGCUUUACUGUAGCUUGACAUUGGGUCUUGGUACUACAUGUACAGGAUAGGUGGGAGGCUUUGAAACCAGGACGCCAGUUUUGGCGGAGCCAUCCUUGGGAUACCACCCUUGUAGUACUGGGACUCUAACCAUAGGCCAUGAAUCUGGUCUUGGGACACUGUCAGGUGGGCAGUUUGACUGGGGCGGUCGCCUCCCAAAAGGUAACGGAGGCGCUCAAAGGUUCUCUCAGUACGGUCGGAAAUCGUACGUAGAGUGUAAAGGCAAAAGAGAGCUUGAUUGCAAGACAUACAGGUCGAGCAAGGAUGAAAAUCGGACUUAGUGAUCCGGUGGUUCUGCGUGGAAGGGCCAUCGCUCAACGGAUAAAAGCUACCCUGGGGAUAACAGGCUUAUCUCCCCCAAGAGUCCACAUCGACGGGGAGGUUUGGCACCUCGAUGUCGGCUCGUCGCAUCCUGGGGCUGUAGUCGGUCCCAAGGGUUGGGCUGUUCGCCCAUUAAAGCGGCACGCGAGCUGGGUUCAGAACGUCGUGAGACAGUUCGGUCCCUAUCCGUCGCAGGCGUAGGAAAUUUGAGAAGACCUGUCCUUAGUACGAGAGGACCGGGAUGGACGUACCUCUGGUGUACCAGUUGUUCUGCCAAGGGCAUGGCUGGGUAGCUAUGUACGGAAUGGAUAAGCGCUGAAAGCAUCUAAGCGCGAAGCCAACUUCAAGAUAAGAUUUCCCACCGCAAGGGUAAGACCCCAGAAAGACUAUCUGGUUGA
Molecule: ribosomal RNA, 2817 nt
Filed under: human gut metagenome
Description: bacterial LSU rRNA
Rfam family: Bacterial large subunit ribosomal RNA
Source: RNAcentral